This 367-nucleotide long non-coding RNA is filed under the name Homo sapiens (human). RNAcentral describes it as "HSALNT0096698". Lineage: Eukaryota; Metazoa; Chordata; Mammalia; Primates; Hominidae. The record is from RNAcentral.
CACAAGUGGACAUUUAUUCUUUCAAAACAGAAUUCAGAGGCCAGGCGCAGUGACUUAUGCCUGUAAUCCCAGCACUUUGGGAGGCUGAGCCACUGCGCCUGGCCUAUUUCUUUUUCUUAAAGACAAUUUAAAAAAACUAUCAAGUACCAAUUUGUUGUAACAAUAAAUUUUUGCCAUGUUCCUCCUCUGUGCAAAGGCACCAUGCUUGGCUUUACAGUGACUACAAGAUGGGGGAGAAGGUCUUGCCUUCCAGAAUGCAAAUGACUAUGCUAGGGGAGAGUAUGAGGUAAAUGAAAUGUGCAAAUGCGUAUAUAUACACACACAGACACAUAUUCAUACACAUAAAAAGGACUUGCUUAUUUUUCUG